CCUACGGGAGGCAGCAGUAGGGAAUAUUGCUCAAUGGGGGAAACCCUGAAGCAGCAACGCCGCGUGGAGGAUGAAGGUUUUCGGAUUUGAAACUCCUUUUUUUAGAGAAGUUAAUGACGGUAUCUAACGAAUAAUCACCGGCUAAUUCCGUGCCAGCAGCCGCGGGAAUACGGAGGGUGCAAGCGUUACUCGGAAUCACUGGGCGUAAAGAGAGAGUAGGGGGGAUAGCAAGUCAGAUGUGAAAUCCUAUGGCUUAACCAUAGAACUGCAUUUGAAACUGUUAUUCUAGAGUAUGGGAGAGGUAGGUGGAAUUCGUGGUGUAGGGGUAAAAUCCGUAGAGAUCAAGAAGAAUUCUCAUUGCGAAGGCGACCUGCUAGAACAUAACUGACGCUGAUGCGCGAAAGCGUGGGGAGCAAACAGGAUUAGAUACCCGUGUAGUC
This 440-nucleotide ribosomal RNA is filed under the name uncultured bacterium. RNAcentral's name for it is "partial 16S ribosomal RNA". It matches the Rfam family "Bacterial small subunit ribosomal RNA", at positions 338 to 795 of the family's 1533-position model. The record is from RNAcentral.